Molecule: small RNA, 29 nt
Filed under: Bombyx mori (domestic silkworm)
Lineage: Eukaryota; Metazoa; Arthropoda; Insecta; Lepidoptera; Bombycidae
Description: ovarian small RNA-8912
Source: RNAcentral
UGUACUAGUCAGCAGUGAUUUGCAGGGGU